This 462-nucleotide ribosomal RNA is filed under the name uncultured Bacteroidales bacterium. Its description in RNAcentral is "bacterial SSU rRNA". It matches the Rfam family "Bacterial small subunit ribosomal RNA", at positions 173 to 636 of the family's 1533-position model. The record is from RNAcentral. Lineage: Bacteria; Pseudomonadati; Bacteroidota; Bacteroidia; Bacteroidales.
GGUAUAACAUGACCUCCUGGUUUUGUUACUAAAGAAUUUCGGUAGAGGAUGGGGAUGCGUUCCAUUAGGCAGUUGGCGGGGUAACGGCCCACCAAACCUUCGAUGGAUAGGGGUUCUGAGAGGAAGGUCCCCCACAUUGGAACUGAGACACGGUCCAAACUCCUACGGGAGGCAGCAGUGAGGAAUAUUGGUCAAUGGGCGAGAGCCUGAACCAGCCAAGUAGCGUGAAGGAUGACCGCCCUAUGGGUUGUAAACUUCUUUUAUAUGGGAAUAAAGUCUGCCACGUGUGGCAUUUUGUAUGUACCAUAUGAAUAAGGAUCGGCUAACUCCGUGCCAGCAGCCGCGGUAAUACGGAGGAUCCGAGCGUUAUCCGGAUUUAUUGGGUUUAAAGGGAGCGUAGGUGGACAUGUAAGUCAGUUGUGAAAGUUUGCGGCUCAACCGUAAAAUUGCAGUUGAUACUGC